GGACGGAGGCCGCGCUCGGGCAGUCCCGCGGCUCGGCCCUGGGUUAGCUCUGGCGACCGUCUCGGCGCUCGCGGGCGGGGGAUCGCAGCGUGUGGAUGGCUGUGGGUGGUAGGGCGCCUAGGCGUCACCAUGGCAACCGAUGCCCUCCCCCGGGCGCGUGACGUCACACUCCCCCGGCGGCACGUGACGUGGCGCUGCGGGAGGAAGUCGGGGGUCCGGGCCGGAGGCGCCCCGUGCCGCCGGAGCGCGGGCGGUCCCGCCCCGGCCCGCGCGCUUUGUUCUUUGUUCUGGUCCAGGCGAGGGUGGCGCCCGGCCGGCCCGCCGACAGAUACCUCCCGCCACGCGCGGCAACAGGUGUGCCCGCUGGUGUCGCCUCGAGCGCGGGUGGCUGGCCAGGUAUCGCAGCGUCCACUAGCGCGCCGGGCCGCGAUGAGCGCCUGACAUGGAAGGUCUGUCCUCUGCCAAUUCUGCCCUUCUCCAGGGGGGAUGUCCCCUCUUCCCUGUGGCUAAGUUUCAGUUCGGCCUCUCCAGCCUUUCCUGCUCGCCCGUGCUUGGCAUCUUGCUGUGCUGCAGGGACGGCAGAGCAAAAGAACUCAGUUCUUCACCAAAUAGACCAAAAUCACCACUAGAAACAAAGCAGGAAUCCGUGACCUUUAAGGAUGUGGUAGUGGACUUCACCCAGGAAGAAUGGAAGCAGCUGGACCCUGGACAGAGAGAUUUGUUCAGGGACGUGACACUGGAAAACUACACACACCUGGUCUCCAUAGGACUGCAAGUUUCCAAACCUGACGUAAUUUCCCAGUUGGAGCAAGGGACAGAGCCGUGGACUGUGGAGCCUGGGCCUGGUGUGGCCGUGGGCGCCUGUGGAGACUGGGAACCAAGAUGUGAAAACAGUGCCUCUCCUCCAGAAGUGGACAUUGCUGAAGGGGAGCAGCUUUCAGAGGCACUAGAGGAAAAACUCAGAAGGGAGGGUCCUUGGAAUCCCAGCAUCUUAGAUGCUUGGAAGUCUGAAGGCAAUCUAGGGAGGCAGCAGAUGCCGCCAAGGAAGAAACUGCAGGUCACUGAAAAGACGGCACCUGUGUGGGAGAGAGGCCCUGCGAAUACCGAAUUCGAGAAAAGCAGUGUGCACUCACACGCUGUAACGCAGCGGGAAACAUCCCCAGGACAGACCUCUGCUAAGACAGGCGUCAAGCAGAAUUCACCUCCAGUUAAAAAAGAGAAAUCUUGUAAAUGCAAUGAAUGUGGUAAAGCUUUCAACUAUUGUUCAGCUCUUAUUCGCCACCAGCGAACACAUACUGGAGAAAAACCCUACAAAUGUAACGAAUGUGAAAAGGCUUUCAGCCGAAGUGAAAACCUUAUAAACCAUCAAAGAAUCCAUACUGGAGACAAACCGUACAAAUGUGAGCAGUGUGGGAAGGGUUUCAUUGAAGGACCCUCACUUACCCAACAUCAGAGAAUCCACACUGGAGAAAAACCCUAUAAGUGUGACGAGUGUGGGAAAGCCUUCAGCCAGAGGACCCACCUUGUGCAGCACCAGAGAAUCCACACUGGGGAGAAGCCGUAUACUUGUAACGAGUGUGGGAAGGCGUUCAGCCAGAGAGGCCACUUCAUGGAGCAUCAGAAAAUCCACACAGGAGAAAAGCCUUUUAAAUGCGAUGAGUGUGAUAAAACCUUCACCCGGAGCACACACCUUACCCAACACCAAAAAAUCCAUACUGGCGAGAAAACCUACAAAUGCAACGAGUGUGGGAAGGCCUUCAACGGGCCCUCCACAUUCAUCCGGCACCACAUGAUUCACACUGGGGAGAAGCCCUAUGAGUGCAGCGAGUGUGGGAAAGCCUUCAGCCAGCACUCGAACCUCACUCAGCACCAAAAGACCCACACCGGGGAGAAGCCCUACGAUUGUGCAGAAUGUGGGAAAUCUUUUAGUUACUGGUCAUCCCUUGCCCAGCAUCUGAAAAUUCAUACUGGAGAAAAACCUUACAAAUGCAACGAAUGUGGAAAGGCCUUCAGCUACUGCUCCUCCCUCACCCAGCAUCGGAGAAUCCACACCCGAGAAAAACCCUUUGAGUGCAGUGAGUGUGGAAAGGCCUUCAGUUAUCUCUCCAACCUGAAUCAGCAUCAGAAAACACACACCCAGGAGAAAGCCUACGAGUGUAAGGAGUGUGGGAAAGCCUUCAUUCGGAGUUCCUCUCUCGCCAAGCAUGAGAGAAUCCACACUGGGGAGAAACCCUACCAGUGUCACGAGUGCGGGAAAACCUUUAGCUAUGGCUCAUCCCUUAUUCAGCACAGGAAGAUCCAUACCGGGGAGAGGCCAUACAAGUGCAACGAGUGUGGGCGGGCCUUCAACCAGAACAUACACCUCACGCAGCACAAGAGGAUCCACACAGGAGCGAAGCCUUACGCAUGUGCAGAGUGUGGGAAGGCCUUCCGGCACUGUUCAUCUCUUGCUCAGCACCAGAAAACCCACACAGAGGAAAAGCCCUACCAGUGCGGUAAAUGUGACAAGACGUUCAGCCAGAGCUCCCACCUGACGCAGCACCAGCGCAUCCACACUGGAGAGAAGCCCUACAAGUGCAGCGAGUGCAACAGAGCCUUCAGCCGGAGCACGCAUCUGACAGAACACCAGAACACGCACAGCGGGCAGAAGCCAUACACCUGCAGCGAGUGCCGGAAGACCUUCAGCCAGAGCGCGUACCUUGCCCAGCACCAGAGGGUCCACUCUGGGGAGAAGCCCUUCGGCUGUGCCGGCUGCGGGAAAGCCUUCCGGUACCGCUCGGCGCUCAACAAGCACCAGAGGCUGCACCCUGGUGUCUGCCUGUCCUAGGGGCCCCAAGAUCCUGAGGAAGCAGAGUGGACAGAGUGACCGCUGAACUUUCACCAUCACGCUGGGAUGGAAAGUACGAUGGGUUGAACUGAUGGAUUGUUACUCAAACAACUUGGUGACAUAAACUCAACUAUUUUACGUGGAAUGAAGGAUUUGAAUAGAUGAUUUCAAAGAUGUUCUGGAGAGAGGAGAGAAAGGCGGACCAGCGUGAAUGGCCUGACAGUGGGAUCAGACCUGGGCUCCGCGCUCCACCGUCUGCUCAGAUGGGUUUCCAGAGCGGUGUCCAGCCUGAGAAGGGGCAGACCAGCCCUGAACAGUUCGGAGGACUCGUGCUCCUCUUGGCCUCUGAGAAGUGAGGGCCAAAUCUGGAGCCACAGCUCAGAAGGUCAGAUGGACCCACUGUUGCCAUGGAGACCGGGAACCAAGGGCUGGGCCCACUGGUGAAGGAAGGUAUUUUCAGGGGUCUCUUCAUGUUUGGCCUCUUAUUUUCUUCACUGUACUUGUAGGAAGAGUCUCAGCAAGGAACUGACCACAUAUUCAAGAAAUUUAGUUGGAGAAUGUGUAACCAAAGGCGAGUGGACCCCCAACAUCUAGCACCUAUAGAAACUGUUACCACACUGAGCCCGACAGAGCAAGGGCUUAACUCGCAAACUUGAUGGUUAAAACAAUAAAGACUUAUUCUUGUAGUUCUGAAGUCCAGAAGUCUGAAAAUCAGCAUCAUGGGCCAAAGGAAGGUGUUGGCAACCCCCUGGACAGACCGUUCCCUGCCUGUCUGAGCUGGGGAUGCCCAGUCCCCUGGGCUCAAGGGGGCAUUGCCCCAGUCUCUGCCUCCACUGCCUCCUCCCCUUUGGUGCCUGACAGGUUCAUCUCCCCGUCUCAAGAUCCUCAACCACAUUGGCAACAUUUGUUUUGGAUGUGUAAGCUAACAUCUACAGGCUCCAGGAAUUAGGGUACCCAGACCCACUGGGGGGAUAACUCUGACCUUUCCGGUCUUCCACCCUUGGCCACUGAAAUUCAGAUUACGUCAUCUCAAAAUAAGCAGCUCUAGCAUGUCGACUGUGUUGACUUAAGGCCACUUAAAAAUAACAGGCAAGAAGGGCCAGGCAUUUAGCUCAGUGGUGCUGUCACCUGCCUCGCAAGUGCAAGGUCCAGAGUUCCAUCUCCAGUACCAAAAAAACAGACAAGAAAUGGUCACUCUGACCUUUCUUAAAAGCAGGAGAUGAAAAAAGAAAAACAGGAGAUGAAAUUCCCAUGUGGAAGAUGUCUCCCCUAUACCGGAAGGAAAGGCACAUUCCUCUCUCUUAUCAAGGAUGAGGGAAAUCUGAGCAAUCACUGUUACACUAAACUUCACCUUCUUGUUUAUGUCCUCACCAAAUUAACUGUUCUAGCCUAAGACCCUUUCCUUGCCAUAUUUCACAGCUUACUUCUCUUUGUCCCACUCAGUAUAUAGCUGUCCAACUCUAACUGCUUCUUUGAUUCAUUUCCUUAUGAAGAAUCCUAUGCUGUUAAAAAUGUACUAAAUAAAUUUGUAUGUUUCUCAC
Molecule: non-coding RNA, 4368 nt
Organism: Heterocephalus glaber (naked mole-rat)
Lineage: Eukaryota; Metazoa; Chordata; Mammalia; Rodentia; Bathyergidae
Source: RefSeq, a predicted model, not a curated record